Olea europaea var. sylvestris is the source of this 4065-nucleotide RNA transcript. It is a transcript of the gene named SOSS complex subunit B homolog, with no coding region annotated. NCBI's taxonomy places the organism in Eukaryota, Viridiplantae, Streptophyta, Magnoliopsida, Lamiales, Oleaceae. The transcript is spliced from 3 exons. The record is from RefSeq and is a predicted model, not a curated record.
UUUCAAGUUUUUGUGUCAACUCCAUCAGGCUUCAAAAAUGAGAAUUAUACCGAACCAUUGAAGCAAGCAGGCUUCCGCAAUUUUUGUGUGGCUUACUUAAUAGUUUAUACUAUAAAUUAAUGAUCAAUCCUUCCCACCUUCAGAUAUGCUUUUGUUUGUUUUCGAAAGCAUUAUAAAAAGCUUCAAUUUAUGGUGGCUCUAAUUUUCAGUUUACUUUGAGGUCGCAAUGAACUACGCAAGCAGAACAUCAGUGCACAAAUCAGCCAUUGAUGAUCCUUCAAGUCUGUACUUCGUUCACCAUUCUAAUAGUCCAGGAUUGAUCUUGGAGUCGCAGCAGCUGAUUGGAGAUAACUAUGCCUCUUGGAGCCGUAAUAUGACAAUCGCACCAUCGGUGAAGAAUGAGGCUGGAUUUGUUGAUGGAUCAACCUGAAGGUGUAAAUUCUGAUUUGCUCAACUCAUGGAUUCGUUAUUUCCUGGAUUCUGAAUUCCAUUUCUCCCAGUGUGAUAUAUGUGGUCACGGUGUAUGAAAUCUGAACAGAUCUUAGAGAUAGAUUCCAAUGGAAAAAUAGACCAGGUAUCUUCCAAUUGAGAAGAGAUAUGAUGAAUCUGGUUUAAGAUCUGAACAAUGCAAGUGUUUACUUCACUAAAUUAAAGCUAUUUAGGAGGAAUUGAGCAAUUAUUGCCAUACCUGCGAUUGUGAAAAGGCACCUGUGGUGGCAUAAAGGAAUUGAACAAUCAUUAUCAGAUGGAAUACACUAUGUCAUUCCUAAUGAGGUUACAUGAUUUUCUCGCAAAUUAGAGGGCAGAUACUAUUUAUGGAUACUUUACAUCGAAUUAACAAAGUGUUUCUGAUUUCACAAGAAGAAGAUUGGAACUUAAAUAGCAUCUGAAAUUGAUCAAAAUAGAGGUACAGCCUUUGCUUUUAAGAUUGAUAAUAGCAAAGGAAUUCAUCCUAGAUCACACAACAAUGCUUCAAGUUUGGAAAUAUUGUAAGUGGUAAGAAGAAGGAAAGACCUUAUUGCACUAAUUGCAAUUUCCAUGGCCAUUCCAUUGACAAGUGCUACAAAAUACAUGGCUAUCCACCUAGCUAUAAGCAAAGAUCAAGAGAGGAUUCAGUCAAUCAGAUUUCAACCACUACAUCAAUUCCUCAAAUUGAAAAUGGGCAACAUAAUCAAUAGCCAGGAUUUGGAAGUUUUGUGCAAAACCUGAACUCUGAUCAAUACCAACAACUAAUUCCCAUGCUUUCUUCUCACUUGGCUUCAAGUUCCAACGUAACAUCCUUAGAUCAUUGAGACAACAAUAUCAUAUCAUAUGCUACUGGUAUAUGUUACUCUAUAUCAGUAAAUCAUUUUUUUUUUAUCCAAGGAGAGUUGGAUAGUGGAUUCAGGUGUAACUCGGCAUGUCUGCUCCAUUGCCCCUGCUUUUUUAUCAUUGAGAAUUCUGGAUAAUUCUGCUGAUAUUUUACCUAAUAACACACAUAUACCUAUUUAAUUAUUUUUUUUUAUAAGUAAUCAAAUAUUUUAUUAAUCAUGGAUAAUACACAGGAAGCGUAUUAUCAAUUAAUACAAGCCAAAAAGACAUGAAAUUAGGCAACCCGUCUAUGCAAGUAAUAGCUAUAGCAUUAACCAAAUAUACAGUGUCAGGUAAAAUAAUUCUUUAAUCUGCUCUGUUGUCCGUGUAUUAUAUUUACCCUCUUGCUAAACAAAGAAAGUUGUCGUUUGAAUCAUAUAAUCAUUUUUCAAAGAAUCCAUUUGACCUUUACAUUGUGACAUUUGGGGUUCAUAUCGAGUCCCAUCCUACAGGACAAAGAUUUUUCCUGACAUUAGUAGAUGAUUGUUGAAGAUUCACAUGGUUGUUUUUGUUGAAACGAAAAUCAGAUGCUGCAAAUUUUGUUCCCAGAUUAUUUAAUAUGAUAGCAACUCAAUUCAAUGCCAAAAUAAAAACCUUCCGAUCUUGUCAGAUGAAUUCAGAAUUCAAGAGAAAGAAAUAGCUUUUGAGAUUUCUUGAAAAACCGUCUCUCUUACAUGCUGCCCUCUUCUCAAUAUAUAUACAGAUAGAAAUGGCUUUACAAGGAAAUUAUGUCCUACAUAUGCUAUACAAUCCCUAAGAAUAUAAAAAUAUAAAUAUGAAAAGAAAUCUUCAUUAUUAUAUACGGUAACACCCUCCCCUCAAAUUGAUGCGGGGAAGUCAACCAUCAACAAUUUGCUAACAAGAAAUUGAUGUCGUUGUCGAAUCAAUGCCUUGGUGAAGAUAUCGGCCACUUGAAGAUCAGAAGAAAUGUAAGGAAGAGAUAUAACCGGACCCUCUAAUGUAUCGCGGAUAAAAUGACAAUUAACUUCAAUGUGCUUGGUGCGCUCAUGAAAGACAGGAUUAUUGGCAAUUUGGAUAGCACUCGUGUUAUCAGCUUGAAGAGGAGUAGAAUUAGCUUGAGGAAAACCCAGCUCCUCCAGAAUACCGCGUAACCAUAUAAUUUCUGGGCAAGCCAUAGACAUUGCAUGAUACUCAGCCUCAGUAGAGGACUUAGAGACACGAUCUUGUUUCUUACAUUUCCAAGAGAUCAAUGCAUCACCAAAAAACACAUAUCAGCCCGUAGUAGAACGACGUGUAUCCGGGUAACCAGCCCAAUCAGCAUCACUAUAAGCAACAAGCUGAAGAGAUGACCCUGUAAGAACAACCCACGAGAAGGUGACCUGCAAAGAUAGCGAAUAAUGCGGCGGACUGCAGCAAGGUGAAGAUGCCGACGAGAAGACAUAAACUGGCUCACUUGAUGGACGGCAUAUGAGAUGUCCGGUCUAGUAGUAGUCAGAUAGAUAAGACUCCCAACCAAGCGACGAUAGAGUGUGGGAUCAUCCAGGAGAUCUCCUUCAUCUCUUCUGAAUUUCACAUUUACCUCCAUAGGAGUAUCAACUGAAGAGGUAUCCUCCAAACUAGCUAAUGUGAUAAGAUCUUGAGUAUACUUAUGCUGGUUUAAGAAAAUGCCAUUGUCUCGAUGAUGAACUUCCAGCCCUAAGAAGUGAGGCGAUCCAUGUCCUUAUAUGGAAAGUGGCAUGCAACAGAUUUUGAAGUUUAAUAAUCACACUGCAGUCAGUGCCAGUAAUAAUUAUAUCAUCCACAUACACCAAAAGGAGAACAAUGCCUGCCGCAGACUUGUGGAAGAAGAGAGAAGAAUCAAACUGACUUUGUGUAAAAUCGAAUGUAAGAAGCGUACCACGAAAUUUUUCAAACCAUGCUCGGGGGCUUGCUUGAGCCCAUACAAAGAUUGCCAUAACUUACAAACAUCAUGAGCAGAGGUAGCAGGUAAACCAGGAGGAAGCUUCAUAUAAAUCUCCUCUUGAAGAUCACCAUGAAGAAAAUCGUUCUUCACAUCCAUUUGAUGUAGUUGCCAUGAUUGGGAGGCAGCAAUAGCUAAUAUUGUUCAAACCGUGAUCAUUUUGGCAACAGCGGCAAAUGUUUCCUCAUAGUCAACCCUAUAUUCCUGUUUGUUACCCAGAGCUACAAGCUUUGUAUUGAUCCAAAGAACCAUCAGGUCGAAAUUUGACUGAGAAUACCCAUUUACUCCCAAUAGGCUUGACCGUAGAAGGACAAGGAACAAUGUCCCAAGUAUGAUUCUCCUCAAGGCAUGAAGUUCUGCUUGCAUUGCAUCCCGCCAAUACUUAUGUUCCAUAGCCUGUUUGUAGCAAGAGGGAAUAGAAAUAGAUGAUAAAGUAGUUACGAGGGAAAGAGGAGGAGAGAAACCAUACCGAUCAAGAGGUCGAGUAGAUCGACGAAGAUUGGUGACAGCUGUAGCAGGAUCAGGUGCCGAGUUGAGAUCACGAGGGGGCAUAGAGGGAGUAUGAACAGACUCAUGUGGACGACGGCAGGCAUACACAAAACCAUGUUUAAACCUUUCCACAACCGGAGGAGAAUCAGAAAAACUAAGCAAAGGAGAGAAUGUUACAGAUGGGGGCUCGACAUGAGAGUGAAAGAAAUAUUGAUUUUCAAAGAAAACCAAAUUUCUAGAGACACGAAUACGACGAGCAUUAGGAUCAUAACAAACAUAACCUUUUUGUGAGGUAGCAUAGCCAA